UGUUAAAUAUUCCAUCUAUUUAUACGAUUAAAAAUUAUUGGUAUGACUAAUGGAAUAGCCAGAUAAUGUGACAUGCCAUGUAUAUCUCAUGCUAACGUACACAGACUAAUUUUUAACAAUAAAAAUAGAUAUAAUUUUUAUUA
Molecule: non-coding RNA, 143 nt
Organism: Gossypium hirsutum (cotton)
Lineage: Eukaryota; Viridiplantae; Streptophyta; Magnoliopsida; Malvales; Malvaceae
Source: Rfam